This 253-nucleotide ribosomal RNA is filed under the name uncultured bacterium. RNAcentral describes it as "partial 16S ribosomal RNA". It matches the Rfam family "Bacterial small subunit ribosomal RNA", at positions 524 to 776 of the family's 1533-position model. The record is from RNAcentral.
UACGGGGGGGGUAAGCGUUGUUCGGAAUUACUGGGCGUAAAGGGCUCGUAGGCGGCCAACUAAGUCGGACGUGAAAUCCCUCAGCUUAACUGGGGAACUGCGUCCGAUACUGGAUGGCUUGGAUUUGGGAGAGGGAUGCGGAAUUCCAGGUGUAGCGGUGAAAUGCGUAGAUAUCUGGAGGAACACCGGUGGCGAAAGCGGACUUCUGGGUUGUUACUGACGCUGAGGUACGAAAGCGUGGGGAGCAAACAGG